GAUGAACGCUAGCGGGAGGCCUAAUACAUGCAAGUCGAACGAUACCAAGGGGCUUGCUCCCUGGAAAAGUGGCGCACGGGUGCGUAACGCGUAUGCAACCUACCUUUAUCAGGGGGAUAGCCCGGAGAAAUCCGGAUUAAUACCGCAUAAAAUCACAGGAUGGCAUUAUCCAAUGAUCAAACAUUUAUGGGAUAAAGAUGGGCAUGCAUGUCAUUAGCUAGUUGGCGGGGUAACGGCCCACCAAGGCGACGAUGACUAGGGGAUCUGAGAGGGUGGCCCCCCACACUGGAACUGAGACACUGACCAGACUCGUACGGGAGGCAGCAGUAAGGGAUAUUGGGCAAUGGGCGGAAGCCUGAACCAGCCAUGCCGCGUGCAGGAAGGCUGCCCUAUGGGUUGUAAACCGCUUUUAUCCGGGAAUAAACCUACUUACGUGUAAGUAGCUGAAUGUACCGGAAGAAUAAGGAUCGGCUAACUCCGUGCCAGCCGCCGCAGUAA
Molecule: ribosomal RNA, 498 nt
Filed under: uncultured bacterium
Lineage: Bacteria
Description: partial 16S ribosomal RNA
Rfam family: Bacterial small subunit ribosomal RNA
Source: RNAcentral